GGAAUCUUCCACAAUGGGCGAAAGCCUGAUGGAGCAACGCCGCGUGUGUGAUGAAGGGUUUCGGCUCGUAAAACACUGUUGUAAGAGAAGAAUGACAUUGAGAGUAACUGUUCAAUGUGUGACGGUAUCUUACCAGAAAGGAACGGCUAAAUACGUGCCAA
RNAcentral lists this ribosomal RNA (161 nucleotides) under uncultured bacterium. RNAcentral's name for it is "partial 16S ribosomal RNA". It matches the Rfam family "Bacterial small subunit ribosomal RNA", at positions 358 to 511 of the family's 1533-position model. The record is from RNAcentral.